Mangifera indica (mango) is the source of this 703-nucleotide long non-coding RNA. RefSeq lists it as uncharacterized. The transcript has 2 exons. NCBI's taxonomy places the organism in Eukaryota, Viridiplantae, Streptophyta, Magnoliopsida, Sapindales, Anacardiaceae. The record is from RefSeq and is a predicted model, not a curated record.
CUCAACAAAAUUACAUGGUGAAACAAAUGUUGAAAUAAUGAACGAAAUAAGCAUUUUAUUAAUCUUUAGCAUACACCUUAUCAGCCUUGCACUUGCCCUGAUGGGGAAUAAGGUUGCAUGCUUCGGCGCCAUCUAUUUUCAUUUUCAAGGAAUCUGAUCAGUUCCUGAAGUUCAACUGGCUCAAUCUGAGGCUUGCUUAACCAAAUUCUCAAUCAAGCAUCAGAAGAGAAAGGGGGUAGUUAACAAAUUGAAGGUAUUAGAUCAGAGUUCAACUUAUGCUCAAAAAGAGAAUCAACUUGUACAAAAUUGAAUUCAUACGAUCAGCCUUGCAAUGAGUCUUGUCUCUCGCAAUAAAUGCAUAAACAAAUGUGACAACAUGGCUGCACGCUGAGAGCACACCAACAAAUCCAUCUAUUGAUUCAAAGUGAUGGAGUCCUUCAAUUACAAGUCCAACAUGGCUGCAUGCUGAGAGCACACCAACUAUUGGAAAACAUUAAACAUGCCAAUUCUAUGAAUUGAAUUCUGUAAAAAUAAAUUUUAUCUACCUGGAUUCUGAUUCGUUUGUUGAUGGCUUGCAUCAACACGAGGAAUUGGCAUGAGUCAUUUCCACAACAUAGUUUGCUUUAGGCAUUGCCAUUUAGAUAUAGUGUUUUUGGGAUACUAUAUUCUGAUACAAUAAAAUUAUGUGUAUCCAUUUUUGGUA